CUCACACAACCUGUAAGCAGAGAUCCCUGCAAGGAGUGGGGGUUGAGAAAAGAAUAGCAAAAAGACCUUAAAGCAACUCAGGAAAUGGAGUGGGCAGGAGAGAAAGAAAAUCAGUCAAGGAUGAUAUCAGAGAGAAAGGGGGAAAAACAUCUGGUAAGCAGAGAAAAGGUAAUCUGUGUGGGAAGUGGAGAAGGAGGUAAUGGUGGAAGAAAAGCAAAAAGAUCACUUUCAGGAUGCCGUUACUGUUUCUGUUACACACACACACACAAAAAGAGAAGCAAAGAAUAAAGGAGAUGAAAAUUGUGCAAUCAUCUUACGUAACAUGGCAGAAUGUACCACAUGAGAGAAAUGGAAGAUGGCAAAAGAUCUUAAGCAGCAUUACAAGAUGAUGUAGUGAACUAUUGACUAACAAAGCUUUGGUCAUAGGCAAACUGUGGAAGAUGUAAUUAGAAAAGGAUUAAAAGACAAGAAUAAGUAUAUGCCAGUAAAAACUCAACAUUGCUUUUGCAAAGAGGUGUCAUGUCUUAGGCUUCUGUUAAAUAUUUGAGGAAACAACAAGAAAGCGGUUAAGCAUAAUAGCAUUAUUAAAUUUUUCUUUUGUUUUCAAAAAGCUUUUGAUAAAAUCUCUCACUACAAAUUUUUACAGAAAAGUUGCCAUGGUUUAAGAGGGAAGGUAAUUUUAUGGAUUUAUAACAGACUAAAGAUAGGAAACAGAGACUAGGAAUUCGUUAGCAGCUUUCAAAAUGAAAAGAGGUUUCCCAAGCUCUGCUCUGUUUAACCUGUUGUCCUGAUUUCAGCUGGGAUAGAGUUAAUUGUGUUCCUAGUAGCUGGUAUAGUGCUAUGUUUUUGAGUUCGGUAUGAGAAGAAUGUUGAUAACACUGAUGUUUUCAGUUGUUGCUAAGUAGUGUUUAGUCUAAAGUCAAGGAUUUUUCAGCUUCUCAAGCCCAGCCAACAAGAAGACUGGAGGGGCACAAGAAGUUGGGAGGGGACACAGCCAGGGCAGCUGACCCAAAGUGGCCAACG
Molecule: long non-coding RNA, 1023 nt
Organism: Harpia harpyja (harpy eagle)
Lineage: Eukaryota; Metazoa; Chordata; Aves; Accipitriformes; Accipitridae
Exons: 3
Source: RefSeq, a predicted model, not a curated record